This 329-nucleotide ribosomal RNA is filed under the name uncultured bacterium. RNAcentral describes it as "bacterial SSU rRNA". It matches the Rfam family "Bacterial small subunit ribosomal RNA", at positions 568 to 898 of the family's 1533-position model. The record is from RNAcentral.
CGCGUAGGUGGUAGUGCAAGUCUGAGGUGGAAUCCCAGGGCUUAACCCUGGAACUGCCUUGGAAACUGCAUUACUUGAGUCAGUGAGGGGAGGGUAGAAUUCCUGGUGUAGCGGUGAAAUGCGUAGAUAUCAGGAGGAAGGCCGGUGGCGAAGGCGGCCCUCUGGCGCUGAACUGACACUGAGGCGCGAAAGCGUGGGGAGCAAACAGGAUUAGAUACCCUGGUAGUCCACGCCCUAAACGGUGGGUACUAGGUGUAGGGCUCGUAAGGGUUCUGUGCCGAAGCGAAAGCAUUAAGUACCCCGCUGGGGAGUACGGCCGCAAGGUUGAA